This 72-nucleotide transfer RNA is filed under the name Strigamia maritima. Its description in RNAcentral is "tRNA-Trp for anticodon CCA". It matches the Rfam family "tRNA". From Rfam's summary of the family: Transfer RNA (tRNA) molecules are approximately 80 nucleotides in length. Their secondary structure includes four short double-helical elements and three loops (D, anti-codon, and T loops). The record is from Rfam by way of RNAcentral. RNAcentral also lists the same sequence under 1 other name. Lineage: Eukaryota; Metazoa; Arthropoda; Chilopoda; Geophilomorpha; Linotaeniidae.
GACCCGGUGGCGCAACGGUAGCGCGUCUGACUCCAGAUCAGAAGGCUGCGUGUUCAAAUCACGUCCGGGUCA